UGAAUUUGUUGCAAAAUAUGCGGCCUGAAAACCAGAGACUAGCCGACGCUUUUUUUUAAAGUGUCGGUUAUUUUUUUGG
Klebsiella pneumoniae subsp. pneumoniae MGH 78578 is the source of this 79-nucleotide non-coding RNA. Lineage: Bacteria; Pseudomonadati; Pseudomonadota; Gammaproteobacteria; Enterobacterales; Enterobacteriaceae. The record is from Rfam.